RNAcentral lists this ribosomal RNA (492 nucleotides) under uncultured bacterium. RNAcentral describes it as "partial 16S ribosomal RNA". It matches the Rfam family "Bacterial small subunit ribosomal RNA", at positions 29 to 507 of the family's 1533-position model. The record is from RNAcentral.
AGUGAACGCUGGCGGUAGGCCUAACACAUGCAAGUCGAACGGCAGCACAGUAAGAGCUUGCUCUUACGGGUGGCGAGUGGCGGACGGGUGAGGAAUACAUCGGAAUCUACUUUUUCGUGGGGGAUAAUGUAGGGAAACUUACGCUAAUACCGCAUACGACCUACGGGUGAAAGCAGGGGAUCUUCGGACCUUGCGCGAUUGAAUGAGCCGAUGUCGGAUUAGCUAGUUGGCGGGGUAAAGGCCCACCAAGGCGACGAUCCGUAGCUGGUCUGAGAGGAUGAUCAGCCACACUGGACCUGAGACACGGUCCAGACUCCUACGGGAGGCGGCAGUGGGGAAUAUUGGACAAUGGGCGCAAGCCUGAUCCAGCCAUCCCGCGUGGGUGAAGAAGGCCUUCGGGUUGUAAAGCCCUUUUGUUGGGAAAGAAAAGCAGCAGGUUAAUACCCCGCUGUUCUGACGGUACCCAAAGAAUAAGCACCGGCUAACUUCGUG